AUAGAAACAAUUUCUUUUUCCCUUUGCUCUGGAGGUUCCUAGCCCUCAAGGUUAGACUUGUUUUCCUUCCUUCUUCUUUGUUCCUAACACCCAGCCUUGUGUAGAAUCGACCUUAGAUCAUAUGGUAUUACGAGCUUGGUUGUGGUUAAAGGCGAAUGAGUUAUAAAAGUAAUCUUUUCUCUAUAUCAAUGGCAACAAUAACUUGUCCUAUGUUUAAAAGUUGUUUUUUACUUAGUUGAAACAGGUUGCAUCUAGUUAGAGAUGAUUUUGUAUUGUAAACAAAUAGAUAUAUAUAGUUCAUUACAUGGGAAGGGAGACUCACAUUGUCGGUUGGCAUGUUAAGGGCUUGUAUGUGUAAUUACUUCAUGUUUUUUACUUUGUUCUAGACAGGUGAAUGCCUCACAACUUGUGAUUCAUCAUUUGAUCCUUAUUUAUCUAUAUAAUAUAUUCUUUGUCUUCCAAAAAAAAAAAAUCAUAAGAGAUUAAGGAAUGAGGAAUUAUGAACUCCUAGGUUACAAUUUGUGUGUGUUUUGGACAUCUUU
Molecule: long non-coding RNA, 542 nt
Filed under: Glycine max (soybean)
Lineage: Eukaryota; Viridiplantae; Streptophyta; Magnoliopsida; Fabales; Fabaceae
Description: long non-coding RNA (GMAX_LNC002606)
Source: RNAcentral